This 380-nucleotide ribosomal RNA is filed under the name Pelagostrobilidium sp. Its description in RNAcentral is "partial small subunit ribosomal RNA". It matches the Rfam family "Eukaryotic small subunit ribosomal RNA", at positions 582 to 975 of the family's 1831-position model. Lineage: Eukaryota; Ciliophora; Spirotrichea; Choreotrichida; Strobilidiidae. The record is from RNAcentral.
AUUCCAGCUCCAAUAGCGUAUAUUAAAGUUGUUGCAGUUAAAAAGCUCGUAGUUGGAUUUCUGGCGGGAUGAACACGCCCUCAGCUGAGUGUGCAUGAGCGUCUCACCAUCCUUCUGUUAACCCUUAAGGUUUUAACGACCUUCUGGGGGCUCAGAUAUUUUACCUUGAGAAAAUUAGAGUGUUUCAGGCAGGCUAGCGCCGGGAUACAUUAGCAUGGAAUAAUGGAAUAGGACUUUUUCCUCUUCUGUUGGUCUGAGGGGUUCGAGUAAUGAUUAAUAGGGACAGUUGGGGGUAUUUGUAUUCCAUAGUCAGAGGUGAAAUUCUUGGAUUUAUGGGAGACAAACUAAUGCGAAAGCAUCUACCAAGGAUGUUUUCAUUG